AUACCUACCUGGCUGGGGAGAUCCCAUGAUGAUGAAGGUGCUUUUCCCAGGGUGAGGCUUAUUCAUUGCACUCCAGAUGUGCUGACCCCUGUGAUUUCCCCAAAUGUAGGAAACUCAACUGCAUAAUUUUUGGUAGUGAGGGACUGCAUUCACACUCUUUCC
Small nuclear RNA from Sorex fumeus (smoky shrew), 162 nucleotides. RefSeq annotates it as U1 spliceosomal RNA. The record is from RefSeq and is a predicted model, not a curated record. The transcript has a single exon. NCBI's taxonomy places the organism in Eukaryota, Metazoa, Chordata, Mammalia, Eulipotyphla, Soricidae.